GAGUUUGAUCCUGGCUCAGGAUGAACGCUAGCGGCAGGCCUAAUACAUGCAAGUCGAACGGUAAGAUCUCGCUUGCGAGAUACACGAGUGGCGAACGGGUGCGUAACGCGUAUGCAACCUACCUUCAACUGGAAGAUAGCCCCGAGAAAUCGGGAUUAAUAUUCCAUAAAGUCUUUCUUUCACAUGUUAGAAAGAUUAAAGCUCCGGCGGUUGGAGAUGGGCAUGCGUGACAUUAGUUAGUUGGUGAGGUAACGGCUCACCAAGACCACGAUGUCUAGGGGUUCUGAGAGGAUUAUCCCCCACACUGGUACUGAGACACGGACCAGACUCCUACGGGAGGCAGCAGUAAGGAAUAUUGGUCAAUGGACGAAAGUCUGAACCAGCCAUGCCGCGUGCAGGAUGACAGCCCUAUGGGUUGUAAACUGCUUUUAUACGAGAAGAAUCCCCUGUACGUGUACAGGGUUGACGGUAUCGUACGAAUAAGGAUCGGCUAACUCCGUGCCAGCAGCCGCGGUAAUACGGAGGAUCCAAGCGUUAUCCGGAUUCAUUGGGUUUAAAGGGUGCGUAGGCGGAAUGAUAAGUUAGUGGUGAAAGCCCCCGGCUCAACCGGGGAACUGCCAUUAAUACUGUCAUUCUUGAGUAUAGUUGAAGUGGGCGGAAUGUAUCAUGUAGCGGUGAAAUGCUUAGAUAUGAUACAGAACACCAAUAGCGUAGGCAGCUUGCUAAACUAUAACUGACGCUCAGGCACGAAAGCGUGGGGAGCAAACAGGAUUAGAUAC
RNAcentral lists this ribosomal RNA (779 nucleotides) under uncultured bacterium. RNAcentral describes it as "bacterial SSU rRNA". It matches the Rfam family "Bacterial small subunit ribosomal RNA", at positions 9 to 785 of the family's 1533-position model. The record is from RNAcentral.